Molecule: ribosomal RNA, 438 nt
Filed under: uncultured bacterium
Lineage: Bacteria
Description: bacterial SSU rRNA
Rfam family: Bacterial small subunit ribosomal RNA
Source: RNAcentral
GCAGAACGCGAAGAACCUUACCUGGGCUCGAACGGCGGACGACGUCUCUUAGAAAUAGGAGAGUUUCCUUCGGGAACGGCCGUCGAGGUGCUGCAUGGCUGUCGUCAGCUCGUGUCGUGAGAUGUUGGGUUAAGUCCCGCAACGAGCGCAACCCUUGUCCUGUGUUGCUAAUCUUCGGAUGCACUCUCAGGAGACCGCCAACGACAAGCUGGAGGAAGGUGGGGAUGAUGUCAAGUCAGCAUGGCCUUUAUGUCCAGGACUACACACGUGCUACAAUGGGCAGGACAGACCGUUGCAAACCCGCGAGGGGGAGCUAAUCGGAGAAACCUGUUCUCAGUUCGGAUUGCAGGCUGCAACUCGCCUGCAUGAAGCUGGAAUCGCUAGUAAUGGCAGAUCAGCAUGCUGCCGUGAAUACGUUCCCGGGUCUUGUACACACCG